Molecule: ribosomal RNA, 313 nt
Filed under: uncultured bacterium
Lineage: Bacteria
Description: bacterial SSU rRNA
Rfam family: Bacterial small subunit ribosomal RNA
Source: RNAcentral
AACGAACGCUGGCGGCAUGCCUAACACAUGCAAGUCGAACGAAGUCUUCGGACUUAGUGGCGCACGGGUGCGUAACGCGUGGGAAUCUGCCCUUGGGUGCGGAAUAACUUCUCGAAAGGGAUGCUAAUACCGCAUAAUGUCGUAAGACCAAAGAUUUAUCGCCCAAGGAUGAGCCCGCGUAAGAUUAGCUAGUUGGUGGGGUAAAAGCCUACCAAGGCGACGAUCUUUAGCUGGUCUGAGAGGAUGAUCAGCCACACUGGGACUGAGACACGGCCCAGACUCCUACGGGAGGCAGCAGUGGGGAAUAUUGGAC